AUUCUAAGCAUCCUCCAUGGCACAAUCUGAAUCCCUCUCUGCAGAAAUUGAGACACUGAGCCAGGUCUUGAGUCUGGUGGAGGCAUUUAGAGCUUUUGACUCGGAUAAUGAUGGCUUCAUUACGGUAGCUGAGCUUGGUGGAAUCCUGGGGUCACUCGGUUACAACGCUAGCGAACAAGAUGUGAGGGCAAUGAUGCAGCAGGGAGACACAAACAAAGAUGGUUUGCUAAGCAUACAAGAGUUCUUAGAGAUGUACACCAAGGAUAUGGAACUUGGUGAACUUGCAAACUCUCUGAAGCUCUCAACAGUCAACACUGAUGGUGAUGAGGUUGUGACUGCAGACGAGUUAUAUGAAGUAACAAAGAAUAAUGGGGGAUUAGAAUUGUCUUUAGAGGAUUGCCAGAAUAUUAUUGCUUCUAUGGAUGGGGAUGGAGAUGGCGUUGUUAGUAUUCAAGACUUCAAUCUUAUAGUCAAUUCUCUCAUCUAGUUUCCAUUCCAAGUCUUAGUGUCUACUACUAAUUAAUAAUUACAAUCUGCGCUGCAAUGGGACUUUAAUUAAUAAAAUUUCUGAGAGAAAUAAGCAUGUACUAAUUUCUAAAUAAAUAAGCUCUACUUGUUCGUCCCUUUUGUUGCUUUAUCUGUGAUUAAUUGUUCAGGUUUGUAUUGCCUUCCUCAUGUUAGCUCAAAAUAACUAGUAAGCCUUCUUGUUUCAAAUCGAAUUAAA
RNAcentral lists this unclassified non-coding RNA (724 nucleotides) under Hevea brasiliensis (rubber tree). Lineage: Eukaryota; Viridiplantae; Streptophyta; Magnoliopsida; Malpighiales; Euphorbiaceae. The record is from RNAcentral.